This 239-nucleotide ribosomal RNA is filed under the name uncultured bacterium. Its description in RNAcentral is "partial 16S ribosomal RNA". It matches the Rfam family "Bacterial small subunit ribosomal RNA", at positions 15 to 247 of the family's 1533-position model. The record is from RNAcentral.
GAUCAUGGCUCAGAUUGAACGCUGGCGGCAGGCCUAACACAUGCAAGUCGAACGGUAACAGGAAGCAGCUUGCUGCUUUGCUGACGAGUGGCGGACGGGUGAGUAAUGUCUGGGAAACUGCCUGAUGGAGGGGGAUAACUACUGGAAACGGUAGCUAAUACCGCAUAACGUCGCAAGACCAAAGAGGGGGGACCUUCGGGCCUCUUGCCAUCGGAUAGUGGCCCAGAUGGGAUUAGUCG